AUAGAAAGACACCAUCUGCAUAGCCAGCAGUAUUACUAUGUAGACCUUGCACAUCUUACUUUUAUUUUGCUUUGUUUAAAAAAUUCCUUAAUUUGUUUAUUUCUCUUCAGAAAUGUAUGUGCUUUUUAAAAAAUAUUGUGGUUGAGAACCCUGUGGAAUUUUUACUGUUGUUAUUUUGUUUGUCAUAAAUAAGCUAAAAUAGAUAUGUUGCAGGUUAACCAUAUCUGUGGAGAUAUGCAACUGGAAGUCAGAGCCUGACAUGACACAGUUUUGCCAAAGAGAGAGCUAAACUGGAAGAUGUGUUUGAUAUUUUCAGCUGUAAAUGUUAAUGGGUGUUUGCACAGAGUGAGAAAUAGUGUUCAGAUUUGGUUAAUAGUUCAUAUGUAUAAUUGUGGCCUCUGACUGAAUGAAACUCUUAACGUCACUGUGCAGUAGACGUCGCCCUUGUUUUUCUGUCUUCAAAUUCGUCCAUUCAAAAUCUUAGUCAUUGCUUUUUAAGAUUAUUUUAGCAUUUGAGGCAAAUGGAAACCAGUGAGAACUAACAUAGUAUAGGUGAGCUUUUUAUCUCUAAUUCACCAAAUUAUAUCUAAUAAUAAUUCAAGCAAAGAAAAUAUGUCACCAAAAUAUAUUAAAUAUUUGGGUAGUUUAUUAGGUAGUGUGAAGAUGAAGUUUUUGUCCUCCUGUUAGGUCUACCCUUAAUAAAUUAGUAAAUUAAUGACUUGAAAUCUGGACAUUUCCAUCAAUAUUAAACUCAUUUGUUUCUCUCAUAGCCAAGAAGAACUAGUUAGAAAUUCCAAUAUAAUUUAAAUUUAAGCUAGUUUGUGAUAGGAUAAGCAUAAUGAUUGGCAUAUGAUACAGCCUGGUAUAGUAGUGUAUAAUACCAACCAAAACACCAUUUGAGGCGCAUCUCAUUUUUAUCAGUUACGUUGAACAUGGAAGCUUAUUUUUCACAUGGGGGUAGCAUGACAGCUUUUGAAAUAGAACUAUGAAAGUAACUGCGUAACGACCUUCCAGAGUACUGUUUUUGGCUUCGUGCCCCUUCUGUGUUUGGGCGCUGCUUAUUUUCAGAGGUAUUAUUUUUACUGUAACCUCCAAACUGUAGGAAUUGAAAGAACUGAUCAAACACACCUUCCUAAUCUCUUUUCUUCACUAUGUAAAUAUUAUUUGUGUAAACAUUACAAAAAGGGAUCCAGACAAUUUGAGUAUUUUUUUUUUCUCCCUAGGCAUGUGCUUCAAUGACAAAUUUGUUUUCUGUGUGGAAAACGCCAUAUGACUAUUGCACUACCUUCUGUAUGACUGUUUCGGUAUUGGAUCUUUCUGUGUGUCAAGAGUUGGGGUGUCCAUAGCUGCAAAGUUUUUGUAAGUGGCUUUAUUCCUCCUCUAGAAGAUUUAUAAAGGAGCCCAAAGAGCACUAUUGUUGCAGAAGGAAAAAUGUUUACAGUGUCUAGUGUAUACACUCCACACGUUAGUUGAAAGCGGGGCCCUUUAAGAGCAGCCUCGCCUUUCGGUCUCUUGGGAUUCCUAGAAUUUACCUGGCCAAAUGACUUGAGCAGAAGUCUUUUUUUUUUUUUUAGGUUAGAUCUGUAAGCUAUAUGCCUUUACUACUGAAAACAAAGCUAUAGGACAUUGUAUUGAUUGGAAAUCAAUAAUAAUGGUAGAUUUAGUCCAUCAACUGUUUAAAAUAAUAUAUCCUCUAUGGAUUUCCUUCCUGUUUUUGAGGUGCAUUCCUUUAUAACCAGUUUUGAAAUCACCAUGUUAUCUUCUGCAAACAAGGGGUACCAGUGUUGCUUAACGGAAGAUGAUCUUUAAUGAAAGGAAUC
Long non-coding RNA from Equus asinus (donkey), 1820 nucleotides. The record is from Ensembl. NCBI's taxonomy places the organism in Eukaryota, Metazoa, Chordata, Mammalia, Perissodactyla, Equidae.